RNAcentral lists this long non-coding RNA (293 nucleotides) under Nicotiana benthamiana. Its description in RNAcentral is "long non-coding RNA (NBEN_LNC034029)". Lineage: Eukaryota; Viridiplantae; Streptophyta; Magnoliopsida; Solanales; Solanaceae. The record is from RNAcentral.
CCAAGGAAAGAUGAAAUAUCGACAUAAAAAUUGCUGGGGUCGUCAUACUCACGCAAGCCAAGAGCACUCUUGCAUCCAUGAUAGUAGCUUAAAUCUUGCACGCUCUCACAGCCUGCAAAGCCUCAGCCUGCAAAGCCGGAGGAGACUUUUUUGUGGGGUGAUAUUUGUUGUUGCCAAUGUGGAUGACCGAACAUCUAUGCCAUCGUCCUCAAUUUACUGGGUUAUGGGUCAACAUAGAUAAACCUGCAUAGAGGAAUUUUAUACGAGGAUUAACGGGGUCAGCUUGAUGGAAG